UCACUCUGGGGGGAGGCAGGCAGCCACUGCUGCCGCCGGCCGCCGGCUCGGAUCCGACAUCUGGAGGCUGGAUUCCAGGAGGAGAGAUGGAGUCUUGCAGGCAGAUGUCAGCUUUGAAGGUCAAAGCGAGCGAGGGAGCCAAGGAGGAAGAGCCUGCCAGGGUCCCACGCUCCCCCACCCAGGAUUCUGGGAGAGAGGUGAGGAAGCCGAGGCUCAGAGAGGUGAGCCAAUGUCACGUCACCGCUGGAAGCCAUGGAGCCAGGACCCUCCUGCCUCCUGGUCAACAGACCCUGGUGUUUCUGCCUGUGUUUAGCAGAGCUUUGCCCACUGUUACUGCAUGGUAGAUGUUGCUGACUCUUCAAACAAGGGCCAGGCACACCUGAAGUCCAAGAAGUCCUCUGUGAUCUGUUGAGCUUCUGAGUUACUGGCAUCACAGCCUGCCGCUGUGGUCACUGCACCAGACAGACGUUAACCCCCACUGUGCUGGUGGGAGCAGCACGUGACAUGGGCGCACGGUCCGGAGAGGCUGAGGGAGGAGAACGCCACCGGGAAACCUUCCUUCGCUCCAGCCAGCUUCCCCUCCAGCGAGCUUGCCUCGCCUUCUUUCUCCCUGUCCGCCCAGACUUGAAGCCAAAGCCCUCCCUGACCCUUAGGAGUUGCUCCUUCCCUUGGCUGUCUGGGCCCUGACCAUCAUCCAUAGCACGUGUGUUCUGUAUCGCUGUGAACCUGGCCUUCACGUUUCAGCAGAUGGGGUUCUCGCCCUCCACAUCCCUCAGCUUCCCUCUUGCACCUGGGCUUACCUGGGCAGGGCCGGACCACUGGGACCAGGUGAGUUCUCAGCCUGUUCUGGGGAUGGCGACAGCAAGGUCGUUGAGAGGAGCCUGAAGGGAGCCAGGCACUGGUGCAGACUGGCCAGGUGACCCUGGCAAGUCCCCAGGGAAUAACAGGAUUAGGGGUCCAUAGUGAGGAUGAAAUGGGAGAUGCAGGGAAAGCCGCCAAAGCUGCAGGUGUCAGGCACAUGCGUGGCCCAGCCUUCUCGUGCCCACAUACAUAGGUGCCUCCUGGCACGCUGAGGCCUCCUCCCCAGGGAGAGCUCCUCCCGUUUCCCAUCAGCCUCCCCCCUCGAAGCCCACCCAGGUCUGCUUUCUCAUCAGAGCCGGCCUCUGUCCCUCCCCUGGCCUGGCCGGUCCUAUCCUCAGAUGGGACCGGACGUCCUGCCUACUCUCCCCAUCCCUGUCCACUCCUCCAGAGAGGAGCCUGCGGCCCAGAGGGAGACUGGACAGCCUCUCGAGCUCACUGACCUUUAUAUUGACCAGAGGCCCAGAAGCCCUGUCUUUCCCUCCCCCUGCACUCCUGAUCCCCCUUUACUGCUCUGCUGAGACCCCCGGCUUCUGGUGGGAUUGUUGUAACUGCCCUGACAUCUUAAAAUCAACUGAGGAAGUGGUCAGCCAGCUAUUGCUGUCUAAUAUGGAAAGUCCAGCCAGGAUGGCCAUUCACUGAGUUUUUAUAAGGGGGGAAUGCACCCAAUUGAAGCAGACGACUUGGUUCCUCCUUGUCGACCUGUUGCAAAGCAGCAAGGGAACAUGUCCCAGGGUUGGGGGGUGGGGAGGCCCGGACAGGGCAAGCUGGUGGAGGAAGAGAAGAGAAGGCAGGAGGCUCCCCACCACGGGCUGCAGUGUUAGGCCUGGAAACACGGAGUGGGGACCAGAGAGAGGGGAUGCGGGACACAUCAAGGUGGGCUCCAGCCCCCUUGUCAAGGGCUCGCUUGUGAGCAAAGUGAAUCAGGUCAGCCUGUUAGAAGGAAGCGGGCAUCUGGAGGUCAGGGCCUUGUGGCUGGGGAUCUGGGGCCCUGGGGGUGUGGGAACCUGAGUGGUCAGUGCUUCCACCCUAGUAUGUGCAGUUGGGUUCCCCAGAUGUGCUCAGGGUGAGCCUAGACAAAAACAUGUGUGUGCUGGUCGCCCCCUAGUGGUUGGGGGACCCCAGUCUUGCUGGCCCAGGACUCUCCCUGUGGUUAACGUAGGAAAGGGGACCAGGGCAUUGGUGGGUAUUGCAGUUUGCUCCAAACCCCAACAGAGGCAUCUGACCCCCAUUCUGCCUUCCUGGGAGCAUUUAGGAUCGUCUCCCAGGCAAGGGCUUUAUGUUUCUAUGGGGCCUCAUCCCUGCUGCCAUAGCUGGUAUCCACACCCCUCAACCCCAAGAAGGCCGGGAUUCCCCAUGUGCACGUGAGCAUGCUGGGGCCUGAAAGGUCAGCCAGAGCCCGAAAGGCCAUCUUGUCCAUCCACCCGCUGCUCCUGUCAUGUUUGUGUAGAGGAAAAAGCUUCCAGUUAGGGUUGGGGCCCUCGUUUCUGCUUCAGGCUCCAUCUCCAGUUCUCCGUACUUCCUGAGGGGCGUUCCAUAACUUUCUCUGUACCUCCUCAUGGUCUCCCCUCUGUGGUAGCAGAAAUUCUCCUAUGACCCCCAGUGACCUUUGCUCUCGUGAACUCCCUACAUUGGGUGUGGGUGGAACCUGUGACCCUGGCAUCACUCCUGUGAUUAGGUUAUAAGUUGCCUAAGAGAUAGGUUAUCCAAGUGGGCCUGACCUAAUCAAGCCAUUACAAAAAAGUUUUCUCCAGCUGCUGGUGAAAGAGGAGAUUAGAGAGAUUCAGAGCAAGAGAGGGAAUCGAUGUGUGGGACCCUCUCUGUUCCUCAGAUGGAGGGACCACAGGAUAAGGGCCUGAGGAUGGUCUACAGGAGCAACCACAAGAUGAUGGGACCUCAGUCCUACAGUCACAGGAACUGAAUCCUCUUGACAACCAGUGAGUUUGGAAGACCAUCCAAGGCCCUGAUGAGAUUGCAGCCCCACCAACACCCCAGUUUCACCUGGCAGGACUUUGAGUUGAGAGCCCAGCCAUGCCACGUCUGCCAAUGAUAAAUGGUACUGUUUCAAGCCAAUGCUGCUGAUGCUGCUAAGUCACUUCAGUCGUGUCUGACUCUGUGCGACCCCAUAGACGGCAGCCCACUAGG
Long non-coding RNA from Odocoileus virginianus texanus, 3003 nucleotides. RefSeq lists it as uncharacterized. Lineage: Eukaryota; Metazoa; Chordata; Mammalia; Artiodactyla; Cervidae. The record is from RefSeq and is a predicted model, not a curated record.